AGUGAACGCUGGCGGCAUGCCUUACACAUGCAAGUCGAACGGUAACAGGUCUUCGGAUGCUGACGAGUGGCGAACGGGUGAGUAAUACAUCGGAACGUGCCUAGUAGUGGGGGAUAACUACUCGAAAGAGUGGCUAAUACCGCAUGAGAUCUACGGAUGAAAGCAGGGGAUCGCAAGACCUUGUGCUACUAGAGCGGCCGAUGGCAGAUUAGGUAGUUGGUGGGAUAGAAGCUUACCAAGCCGACGAUCUGUAGCUGGUCUGAGAGGACGAUCAGCCACACUGGGACUGAGACACGGCCCAGACUCCUACGGGAGGCAGCAGUGGGGAAUUUUGGACAAUGGGCGCAAGCCUGAUCCAGCAAUGCCGCGUGCAGGAUGAAGGCCUUCGGGUUGUAAACUGCCUUUGUACGGAACGAAAAGCCCUGGGUUAAUACCCUGGGGUCAUGACGGUACCGUAAGAAUAAGCACCGGCUAACUACGUGCCAGCCGCCGCGGUAA
RNAcentral lists this ribosomal RNA (498 nucleotides) under uncultured bacterium. RNAcentral describes it as "partial 16S ribosomal RNA". It matches the Rfam family "Bacterial small subunit ribosomal RNA", at positions 29 to 523 of the family's 1533-position model. The record is from RNAcentral.